Molecule: ribosomal RNA, 450 nt
Filed under: uncultured bacterium
Lineage: Bacteria
Description: partial 16S ribosomal RNA
Rfam family: Bacterial small subunit ribosomal RNA
Source: RNAcentral
GUGGGGAAUCUUCCGCAAUGGACGAAAGUCUGACGGAGCAACGCCGCGUGAGUGAUGAAGGUCUUCGGAUUGUAAAGCUCUUUCGUUAGGGACGAACGUGCUCUUUGUGAAUAAUGAGGAGUAAUGACGGUACCUAAAUAAGAAGCCACGGCUAACUACGUGCCAGCAGCCGCGGUAAUACGUAGGUGGCAAGCGUUGUCCGGAAUUAUUGGGCGUAAAGCGCGCGCAGGCGGGAUAUCAAGUCUGUCUUAAAAGUGCGAGGCUCAACCUCGUGAGGGGACAGAAACUGGUAUUCUUGAGUGUCGGAGAGGAAAGUGGAAUUCCAAGUGUAGCGGUGAAAUGCGUAGAGAUUUGGAAGAACACCAGUGGCGAAGGCGACUUUCUGGACGAUGUCUGACGCUGAGGCGCGAAAGCUAGGGGAGCGAACGGGAUUAGAUACCCCGGUAGUCC